Molecule: long non-coding RNA, 3389 nt
Organism: Perognathus longimembris pacificus (Pacific pocket mouse)
Lineage: Eukaryota; Metazoa; Chordata; Mammalia; Rodentia; Heteromyidae
Exons: 2
Source: RefSeq, a predicted model, not a curated record
GUAGUGCAUGCCUGUAAUCCCAGUACUCAGGAGCAUGAGGCAGGUCCAAAGCCAGCCUGAGCCGAACUCAAAACAAUAAGACAACAAAAAAAGGUUUUAUUUUUGGCUAAUUUUGUGAUAUUUUACAUUGUUAGAUCCCUAUCUUCCUCACCUAUCAUUCUUUCUGUGGCCCUUUCUUCUUAGUAGUUGAGUCCCCAAGUAGUUUUUUUCUUUGACUACUGGCUUUUCCAGUUUGUUUUUCAAUUAAAUUUUUACACAUGUACAGAGGGAGAAAGAAUUUUUUUUAAAACAGUUGACUUAGCAAUUACCCCAAAGUGCAACCUUUUGUUACAUUGGAGCCUUUGAAUAUUUGAAUGCAUCUGUCAUUGUGUACUAGUGUGGGUAGAUUGCUAGAAGAAUUAUUGAGUCAGAGGCCAAGUGUAUUCAUAAAUUUCUGAUGCAUUCGUUGCAAAUGUCAGAUUGUUCCAUUAGAAAAGUGGCCUGUGUCAUGAUAUACCCUCAGUUCCAGGCAGUUUGUGGAAGCACUGUAGUUCAUAUGGGAGCAGGUUUAAGGAAACUUUGAAUUGAAAGAUCUAUAUAGAAGGGAAAUGCUGGAUGCUGGGUGUAAUGGUUGCCCUAGUGUGUGUGUGUGUGUGUGUGUGUGUGUGUGUGUAGAGAGAGAGAGAGAACAGAGACAGAGAAGUAGGAAGUAAAGGGAGAAAAGGAGUACAUGUGCUGUUAUCCACCUGCCUGCUUAGCCGAGAGAACUGGAGUGUGGAUGUCAUCUCAGUGUUGGGGGGAAGUGGGCAGCUCUAUCUUAUCAGCUUCCAGCCCUCUUACUGAUGACUGACUUCUUUAUCUGCCCAUGUAGCCUUUGUUCUGAAAUAUCUGCUAAACAUGGAAGUAAGUUUGCUGAGGUCUCUGUCUUGUAGGCUCAGAAAUGAAGAAAUUAUUUUCACCACGAACAGGGCAAAUGUGUACACUAGACAGUGCAGCUUCUAAACUGACCUUAGUUCACUUUCUAUUACUAAGUUCAUAGGAUUUGAAACACCUUUGGAUUAGGCCAUGUUCUGUUAUUAUAGCCAAAUACCUGAGGCGGAGUGUCUUUAAACUAGAGCAGGUUAAUUUAGUUUACAGUUCUGGAGAGUCAAGGGUGUGCAUCACCUUGACUCUGGUGGAGAUCUCCUGGAAGAUGGCAGUAUGAUGGUGGGAGCAUGUAUAAGAAGAGAGGUCUCAUUGUUAAGUGGUAGCCAGGCUCAGUUUCAUGACAACUAACGCACAGUCUCAGAAUAUUACCUUAGUCCCUUCUAAGAGUACCACCACCAUUUUCCUACUUACCAUUCACUAAGCCUCACCUCUUAAGUUUCACCACUUCAAUGCCACCACACUCAGGACCAAGGUUCUAACACACAAACUUUUGUGGGUCACGCACCAAAUUCAGACCCCAGCAGUGCCUUCUACAGCCCCAAUAGAACUGCUACUUGUCUUUCCUGAGAAUUGGUGUUUUUUCUGUUUUUUUAAUUAAGCCAAGUUAUAUUUCAGAUUUUGUGUUUGAGCCAAUUUUUGACUAGGGAACUCCAUCAAUGUUAGCAUGUGAUUUUAGAAUGUUUUUAGUAUGUGGCAGUGACAUUAUUUUUCCAGGGUGUGGUGCUUUCAUAGUUCCAAAAGUUGCAGGGAGGCCCUCUUAAGUCUGAAAUUGCUCCUGAAGAUGUUGAGCCUCUGCUUCGCCAGGGGUGCAAGUAGUAGCCUCUGGAGCAUCUUUGCUGGUGAGAGUUGUGCUUACAUAUGCUUUUUUGGGUCCCAUGGCUGGUGGGAGAGUCUGGGUUCCACAUGGGGUUCAUUGCAUGCACUAUGUUCUGGAACCCUUGCAGAUGAGAAGAAAGUUCAGACAACAACAGCCACUCAACCAGUUUGUGGAGUCAGCAAGGAAGCUGGAGUUGGUGUCUCUGAGGCCCUGGGCUUUCCUUGAUUAGGCUCAUUUUUACUGCUGGGUUCCUUACCCCUUGAGGGUGUAUUCUGUCCUUUUUGGGUCCCAGAACAUUAUCUUGCCCACCUCUUCCUGAAUGCCCUGGGACUAGAACCCAAAUCUUUCUUUCCAAAGUCUGCUUCAGCCAAGUCUCUUGAAGAAAAAAAUAUUAAAAAAUAUUCAGAUACUAAUGUGUGGCAAAUAUACCACAGCAUCAGGCCCCCAGCAUUCUUCUAGCAUUGGUGAUGUCCUACACCAACAGAAUGGAGACUUUCAGGUAUUGUAGGGAAGAAGAGUUUGGAGGCAGCUUUAGGUGUUGGCAUGGGUAGCACCUCAGACUUCAUGGGGUUGCUGGCUGUGUUCUCCUCUGAGAGCAGUGAGCUACUAGAAGACAGUGCUAAGUCCCUCCAGUCCUGGUGCCUCUUCUUACUUAUUAAUAAUGAGUUAUAUAAAUAAGUGCUUUCCCUCUUUGCCUCUCUAGUGCCAUUACUUCCUUCAAGUCUCUAAAGCCAUUGGUGGCUGAAUUUUAUCACCCAGUGUGUGUCUAACCCUGGAUUGGGAAGUUAAGUUAAAGAGGUUGCAUUAUUUUAUCUUUGUAGCAGCCUUUGCAGGACUUUCUUGUCCUCACUUUGCCAUUUGUGGAAACAUUCUUGGAAAGAUACCAAGUUCUUCACAUACACAGAUGUUCCUAUAUUUUAGGGUAGGGAUGGGAAGAAUGCAUUCGACACAUCAAACCUACCAAACAUAGCUUAGCAACAUUAGUACACUGAAUUAUCUAUUACAUACCAACUAGCCUGAGAAAAGACCCACAUUUAAAAUAACAAGUACAGUUUACUGAAUGCAUAUUCCUUUUGUACCUUCAACUCAAAAAUCCAAAAGUCAAGCCAUCAUAAGGCUGAGACUAUUUCAUCAUUGAUCCUUGUAACAGUUGUGUAGUUAAAAUAUUUGCAUGCUCAGAUUGCCACCCGAGUCUUGGCAGCAGGUAAUCUCCUGUCUUGGUUAUACUGCUGAAGUGAAAUAGCUAAGACGUGCCAGUUCAGACUAAGAUCUGCCAGGCUUUGAAUCUCCAAGUCUCUGCUCCUAACUACCUGGCUUAUAAGUUCUACCCAAGAUGCCCCAGCUGGUGCACAGGCAAGUAUUCUUUAGUUUAGACACAUAAGCCAUGGGAACUUCGCUUGGUUUAUUGGGAAAGCUCAUGAGAAGGAGAUUGACGCUGACAGUUGAGCUAUAUAUCAAUAUUGGAAAACAGGGUGGCUUUUAUGAUGUCCUGUGCCCAACUGUGUGUUCUGUGAGUGGUAAGUACACUUCACCCUGGAGCUGUCAGGUAGACGUUUAGUAUAGACUUCUUGCUGCAUAGCACAUCCUGUCACAUGACUUGAUUUUGGUCUCUUAGACCCCGUAGUCAUACGCCAUUCUAAAUCAUGUUAAAUAUCGGUCAAAUGCA